GCCUCUAUUUAUCGAUAUAAUUGAACUUGUUGCAAUGGGGUAUCUGAACAAUUUUUCAAAUUCCUUAUUUUCACUUUUAUAAGAUUUUGCCUGUAAUUUUUAAAAAUGACCUAAUGAUACACAUUCAAACUCUAAACAAGUUAGAAACUUCGAAUAUCUCUAGGCCUUAAAUCAAUUUCAUAAAUAUGUAGUUAGAAACAUUGCUUCUUUAUGGAAAUGACACAACUUUUUUGUGUAGUCUAAUAGUAG
RNAcentral lists this long non-coding RNA (249 nucleotides) under Solanum tuberosum (potato). RNAcentral's name for it is "long non-coding RNA (STUB_LNC011819)". Lineage: Eukaryota; Viridiplantae; Streptophyta; Magnoliopsida; Solanales; Solanaceae. The record is from RNAcentral.